This 460-nucleotide ribosomal RNA is filed under the name uncultured bacterium. RNAcentral's name for it is "SSU rRNA". It matches the Rfam family "Bacterial small subunit ribosomal RNA", at positions 26 to 518 of the family's 1533-position model. The record is from RNAcentral.
AGAAUCAACGCUGGCGGCGUGCCUAACACAUGCAAGUCGAACGAGAAAGUGGAGCAAUCCAUUAGUAAAGUGGCGCACGGGUGAGUAACACGUGACUAACCUACCUUUUAGUGGGGGAUAACCUAGGGAAACCUGGGCUAAUACCGCAUAAUACCUACGGGUCAAAGCAGCAAUGCGCUGAAAGAGGGGGUCGCGGUCGAUUAGUUAGUUGGCAGGGUAAUGGCCUACCAAGACUGUGAUCGAUAUCCGGCCUGAGAGGGCGCACGGACACACUGGAACUGAAACACGGUCCAGACUCCUACGGGAGGCAGCAGUGGGGAAUUUUGCGCAAUGGGGGAAACCCUGACGCAGCAACGCCGCGUGGAGGAUGAAGUCCCUUGGGACGUAAACUCCUUUCGAUCGGGACGAUAAUGACGGUACCGGAAGAAGAAGCCCCGGCUAACUUCGUGCCAGCAGCCGC